RNAcentral lists this ribosomal RNA (568 nucleotides) under uncultured bacterium. Its description in RNAcentral is "partial 16S ribosomal RNA". It matches the Rfam family "Bacterial small subunit ribosomal RNA", at positions 355 to 914 of the family's 1533-position model. The record is from RNAcentral.
UGGGGAAUCUUCCGCAAUGGACGAAAGUCUGACGGAGCAACGCCGCGUGAGUGAAGAAGGUUUUCGGAUCGUAAAACUCUGUCUUUUGGGGCGAACGUGAGUAUGGUGAACAAUCAUAGUCAGUGACGGUACCAAAGGAGGAGCCACGGCUAACUACGUGCCAGCAGCCGCGGUAAUACGUAGGUGGCAAGCGUUGUCCGGAAUUAUUGGGCGUAAAGAGCGCGUAGGCGGGAUAGUCAGUCUGUUGUAAAAGUGCGGGGCUCAACCCCGUGAUGGCAAUGGAAACAGCUAUUCUUGAGUGCAGGAGAGGAAAGUGGAAUUCCCAGUGUAGCGGUGAAAUGCGUAGAUAUUGGGAGGAACACCAGUGGCGAAGGCGACUUUCUGGACUGUGUCUGACGCUGAGGCGCGAAAGCCAGGGGAGCGAACGGGAUUAGAUACCCCGGUAGUCCUGGCCGUAAACGAUGGGUACUAGGUGUGGGAGGUAUCGACCCCUUCUGUGCCGCAGUUAACACAAUAAGUACUCCGCCUGGGAAGUACGAUCGCAAGAUUAAAACUCAAAUGAAUUGAC